UGGAAGCAGAGAAUCGUGAAGGAAUGUUCGAGGGUCUGUUGGUGUUAGCAUGGAUCACAGUGACAGGGGCACUGCCAGGUGACUUCUGCUGGUACCAGCCAUAACCAUAGCCACUGCCACCCCCGGAGCAGGUGAUCCUGACGGUUUCUCCCGGGUUCACUGACAUCGAGGCCGGCUGACUCAGCGCUGCCUGCACCAGGGAACCUG
This is a long non-coding RNA of Numida meleagris (helmeted guineafowl), 207 nucleotides long. RefSeq lists it as uncharacterized. NCBI's taxonomy places the organism in Eukaryota, Metazoa, Chordata, Aves, Galliformes, Numididae. The record is from RefSeq and is a predicted model, not a curated record. The transcript is spliced from 3 exons.